AAGGAACCCUAACCACAUCUUCCCUGAAAUCUUCAUCGACAUUGUGUUUACUGCCUCUUCCUCGAACUAACUCUAUAUCUUGUCUUCUCCGAUAACCGAUAUCAUCUUCUCUGCUGCGUUUUUCGAGUUUGUGGCUGAGUUUUAAUUUAUGUUGUGGCUGAGUUACUUUUCUUUUAUGGCUGGUUUAUAUAUGCAGCUAUGGUUGAGUUACUUCUCGCCAAUUUUCGAAAACCUUGUUAUAAGAAGUGUGCAUUCCGAGGAGAAAAGACAAAUACAUUCAAAAAAACACCCAGAUCGGCAAUUGUGGGAUAUAUUUAAUUAAGUUUGUUUAUGAUUUUAUUCCCAUAUAUGGAUAAUCUAUUUUUUUUUUUCAGAUCUGAGUGAAAGAGAAAUUUGAACAAAAAGAAAAUAAAGGAGACAAAAAGAAGUGACGGAGGAUUCAGCAGAGACGACACAGAGG
This 460-nucleotide long non-coding RNA is filed under the name Brassica rapa (field mustard). RNAcentral describes it as "long non-coding RNA (BRAP_LNC005763)". Lineage: Eukaryota; Viridiplantae; Streptophyta; Magnoliopsida; Brassicales; Brassicaceae. The record is from RNAcentral.